RNAcentral lists this non-coding RNA (31 nucleotides) under Rattus norvegicus (Norway rat). The record is from RNAcentral. Lineage: Eukaryota; Metazoa; Chordata; Mammalia; Rodentia; Muridae.
UGAGGCUAGCUUGUAAAAACCAAAUGUGCUA